This 74-nucleotide transfer RNA is filed under the name Clostridium sp. CAG:1219. RNAcentral's name for it is "transfer RNA-Gly(TCC)". It matches the Rfam family "tRNA". From Rfam's summary of the family: Transfer RNA (tRNA) molecules are approximately 80 nucleotides in length. The record is from RNAcentral. Lineage: Bacteria; Bacillati; Bacillota; Clostridia; Eubacteriales; Clostridiaceae.
GCGGGUUUAGUUUAGUGGUAAAAUAAAAGGCUUCCGAUCUUUUGCCGUGGGUUCGAUUCCCACAACCCGCUCCA